UAGGUGACUUUUGACCAAAUAGGUAAUAAAAUAAAAAUAGGAUGAUAUCAUCCCUUUUUCAUCUUCUCUCCACCGAUUUUUCCAGCCAAAAAAUGGGUUUUGAAAGCUUCAUAUUUUCAGCAACUUUGAGGCUUAGCAAGGUUUCCAGGUCUGUUCGGGUAGGAGUUCGUCGGAGAUAUUAUCACACUGUCAAGCUAACGCUAUUGGUGUAGUGAUUUCAAGUACUUUGAGUCUAUGGCAUGUAUAGGAGUUUAAAUAUUAGAGUAUGUGAUAUGGCUUUGACCAUAUGUGUUGGCCUAUUUUGAUUAUGGGAUAUAAAUUCAUUUUAAUUAUUUGAGAUUUCAUAGCCCUGUUUAGUAUAGAAGUGUUAGUAAAAGUUAGGUAGCACCUCGAACCCCGUCCCGGCGUCGGAUGCGGGCGAGAGGUGUUACAGUAUUUAAUAAAUUCCUCCAUUGUAAAUGGAGACAAAGCAUUGGGAACCCAUCAACUUUCUAAUACUCCACCUUAUUAGUCUUAAUAAUACUCUGUCGGGAAUCUCAAACCUUUCAACUA
Gossypium arboreum is the source of this 552-nucleotide long non-coding RNA. RefSeq lists it as uncharacterized. The record is from RefSeq and is a predicted model, not a curated record. The transcript is spliced from 2 exons. Lineage: Eukaryota; Viridiplantae; Streptophyta; Magnoliopsida; Malvales; Malvaceae.